Molecule: transfer RNA, 72 nt
Filed under: Fukomys damarensis (Damara mole-rat)
Lineage: Eukaryota; Metazoa; Chordata; Mammalia; Rodentia; Bathyergidae
Rfam family: tRNA
About the family: Transfer RNA (tRNA) molecules are approximately 80 nucleotides in length. Their secondary structure includes four short double-helical elements and three loops (D, anti-codon, and T loops). Further hydrogen bonds mediate the characteristic L-shaped molecular structure. tRNAs have two regions of fundamental functional importance: the anti-codon, which is responsible for specific mRNA codon recognition, and the 3' end, to which the tRNAs corresponding amino acid is attached (by aminoacyl-tRNA synthetases). tRNAs cope with the degeneracy of the genetic code in two manners: having more than one tRNA (with a specific anti-codon) for a particular amino acid; and 'wobble' base-pairing, i.e. permitting non-standard base-pairing at the 3rd anti-codon position.
Source: Rfam by way of RNAcentral
GGGAGUGUAGCUCAGUGGUAGAGAACUUGCUUUGCAUGCAUGGAUCUCUGGGUUCACUCUCCAGUACCACUA